This 235-nucleotide ribosomal RNA is filed under the name uncultured bacterium. RNAcentral's name for it is "partial 16S ribosomal RNA". It matches the Rfam family "Bacterial small subunit ribosomal RNA", at positions 96 to 334 of the family's 1533-position model. The record is from RNAcentral.
UGGCGAACGGGUGAGUAAUAUAUUGGAACGUACCGAGUAAUGGGGGAUAACCAAUCGAAAGAUUGGCUAAUACCGCAUACGCUCUGAGGAGGAAAGCAGGGGACCUUCGGGCCUUGCGUUAUUCGAGCGGCCAAUAUCUGAUUAGCUAGUUGGUGGGGUAAAGGCCUACCAAGGCGACGAUCAGUAGCGGGUCUGAGAGGAUGAUCCGCCACACUGGGACUGAGACACGGCCCAG